RNAcentral lists this long non-coding RNA (536 nucleotides) under Homo sapiens (human). RNAcentral describes it as "HSALNT0033837". Lineage: Eukaryota; Metazoa; Chordata; Mammalia; Primates; Hominidae. The record is from RNAcentral.
GGAGUUUAAAUCUGGGGGUCAGGUGGAUGAAAACAAUUCUAAUAAACUAUCCUGGGUAUUUCUGGAGGGUACUCCAGAAAGCAGAUAAUAGAAUUCUGGAGGUUUUGGUGACAUCCCCAAGGGGAAGAGCCACAGCUCCAGAGCUGGGAACUGAGAGUGUCUGAAGCUGAGGUACGGUAUUCAGGAGCACUUCACGUGGGAAGGGUUCAUAGGGCUGGCAAGCAUAGGGACGAGCACAUUAGGUGUGCUUUGAGCAGUGAAAGGGACAGUGAGAGGAGCAGUGAGAGGGACGAAACCAUCCAGAGGACAUGCAGUGAGGGUGCUCCAGCUGACCCAAGUGUGGGUGCCCUAGGAUAAGACAGAGCUAAAGCAGGUGCCCCCAACUCAUCUACAGUGUGAUAUGCCAGAGUCCUUCCCCUUCGGUCCACAGGGGACAAAAGCCACUCUCAUCUUCAUCAGGCACUCCUGGCCCUGCCUGGCUUUUCCCACCCAACUUGCCUCCUGGCCUCAGCCCCUGUCCCCUUUCCUACCUUGGA